CAGCUGAUCGCACAGUCCUCGCACUGGCGACGUAUCUUUCAAGUGUCUGCCUUAUCAACUGUCGAUGGUAGUUUACAUGACUACCAUGGUUGUAACGGGUAACGGAGAAUAAGGGUUCGACUCCGGAGAGGGAGCCUGAGAAACGGCUACCACAUCCAAGGAAGGCAGCAGGCGCGCAAAUUACCCAAUCUCAGCUCGAGGAGGUAGUGACGAAAAAUAACGAGACGGUUCUCUAUGAGGUCCGUCAUCGGAAUGGGUACAAUUUAAACCCUUUAACGAGGAUCUAUUGGAGGGCAAGUCUGGUGCCAGCAGCCGCGGUAAUUCCAGCUGCAAUAGCGUAUAUUAAAGUUGUUGCGGUUAAAAAGCUCGUAGUUGGAUCUGCGGCCUCGCGUCCCGGU
Molecule: ribosomal RNA, 398 nt
Filed under: Nematoda sp. YAMAG2018
Lineage: Eukaryota; Metazoa; Nematoda
Description: SSU rRNA
Rfam family: Eukaryotic small subunit ribosomal RNA
Source: RNAcentral